This 341-nucleotide long non-coding RNA is filed under the name Citrus sinensis (sweet orange). RNAcentral describes it as "long non-coding RNA (CSIN_LNC002755)". Lineage: Eukaryota; Viridiplantae; Streptophyta; Magnoliopsida; Sapindales; Rutaceae. The record is from RNAcentral.
UUUCUACAAGACACAAUUAAAUGGACAUGUCCUUACAACAAGACAUCAUUUAAUUAGACAAGUCUUUAGUGAAAGGUACCUUUUCUAUAAGGCACAAUUAAUAGGACAUGUCUUUACCAUAAGACACAUUUAUUUUGAAAAUUUUCCAACAAUCCCCCAUAAGGCACAAUUAAUAGGACAUGUCUUUAGUGAAAGGUACCUUUUCUAUAAGGCACAAUUAAUAGGACAUGUCUUUACCAUAAGACACAAUUAUUUUGAAAAUUUCCAACAAUAUGUCUAUAAUUUAUUGAACUAUUUAUAGAACUCCAUGACCCAGGAGUUACAGACAAAGCAUAGGAAUC